AGCAGUCGCCACGGUAAUACGAAGGGGGCUAGCGUUGCUCGGAAUCACUGGGCGUAAAGCGCACGUAGGCGGAUCGUUAAGUCAGAGGUGAAAGCCUGGAGCUCAACUCCAGAACUGCCUUUGAUACUGGCGAUCUCGAGUCCGGAAGAGGUAAGUGGAACUGCGAGUGUAGAGGUGAAAUUCGUAGAUAUUCGCAAGAACACCAGUGGCGAAGGCGGCUUACUGGUCCGGUACUGACGCUGAGGUGCGAAAGCGUGGGGAGCGAACGGGAUUAGAUACCCCUGUAGUCCCUGUCUCUUAUAC
This 303-nucleotide ribosomal RNA is filed under the name uncultured bacterium. RNAcentral describes it as "partial 16S ribosomal RNA". It matches the Rfam family "Bacterial small subunit ribosomal RNA", at positions 507 to 807 of the family's 1533-position model. The record is from RNAcentral.